AGCUCGUGUUGUGAAAUGUUGGGUUAAGUCCCGCAACGAGCGCAACCCUUAUCCUUUGUUGCCAGCGGUCCGGCCGGGAACUCAAAGGAGACUGCCAGUGAUAAACUGGAGGAAGGUGGGGAUGACGUCAAGUCAUCAUGGCCCUUACGACCAGGGCUACACACGUGCUACAAUGGCAUAUACAAAGAGAAGCGACCUCGCGAGAGCAAGCGGACCUCAUAAAGUAUGUCGUAGUCCGGAUUGGAGUCUGCAACUCGACUCCAUGAAGUCGGAAUCGCUAGUAAUCGUAGAUCAGAAUGCUACGGUGAAUACGUUCCCGGGCCUUGUACACACCGCCCGUCACACCAUGGGAGUGGGUUGCAAAAGAAGUAGGUAGCUUAACCUUCGGGAGGGCGCUUACCACUUUGUGAUUCAUGACUGGGGUGAAGUCGUAACAAGGUAACCGUAGGGGAACCUGCGGUUGGAUCACCUCCUUACCUUAAAGAA
This 486-nucleotide ribosomal RNA is filed under the name Klebsiella pneumoniae. Its description in RNAcentral is "bacterial SSU rRNA". It matches the Rfam family "Bacterial small subunit ribosomal RNA", at positions 1057 to 1533 of the family's 1533-position model. The record is from RNAcentral. Lineage: Bacteria; Pseudomonadati; Pseudomonadota; Gammaproteobacteria; Enterobacterales; Enterobacteriaceae.